Molecule: long non-coding RNA, 2170 nt
Organism: Pygocentrus nattereri (red-bellied piranha)
Lineage: Eukaryota; Metazoa; Chordata; Actinopteri; Characiformes; Serrasalmidae
Exons: 3
Source: RefSeq, a predicted model, not a curated record
CUUCCGGUUGAAAACCGGAUAAGAGACUCGUAGGUCGCCCGUUGCUGCUUCACAUUCAAGUUACAGUUAGAAUCAUUUUGCUUUUACAGGCAUUCUUUUUGCCACAUGGCCAAUGUCCAUCAUGUACAACUACUCAUCGUCACAGGACCCGUAAUUCCAGUAACCUCAUCUAUCCCCCACAGUCGUCAGAAUCUCAGAACUGGGCAGGUGGGCUCCGGAAUUGCCAAUCCACUGUGCACAAGACAGACUUUGUUUCAGCCCUCGCGUCCUUCUAUUUACUGCACUUCCUCGCAUUGAUGGAGACCUGGAUCACCCCCAUGAACUCGGCAACUCCAACAGCCCUGUCCUCUGCCUUUCACUUCUCCCAUUCUCCACAGCAGUCUAGCAGGGGUGGUGGCACAGGUUUGCUCUUGUCCAGGACGUGACGUUUCACUCCUCCACUUGCUUUUUCUCAUCUUUCAAUUUCUUCCUUUGAGUACCAUGUAGUCAAUGUAUCUUUCCCCACUAAACUUCACAUUGUUUUUUUAUCGUCCUCCCUCUCCUCUAGGCUACUUCAUUGAUGAGUUAGACACUCUACUGAGUCUCUUCUCUAUCUUCUCCAUGAAACCCCACUCAUACUUUUGGGUGACUUCAACCUGCCAUCAGACAAGCUGCAGUCAUCCUGCCUGUUACCACUGCUAUCAUCCUUCAACCUCGCCCUCAACUAGACUCCUCUGACACACAGAGCAGGCAAUGCUUUGGACCUGAUAUUCACCAGACCUACCUCCGCGCUGGAUGUGACAUUAACUCCCAUGCAUCGCUCUAAUCACCACUUCCUAUCUUUCUCACUCCUCCUCCCUGUUACUCCUGUCCAUUCCACCCCUUUGUGCUCCUCUUCUUGGUGCAAUUUACACUCCACUCCUUCCUCAUAUUUCACCUCAACUAUCCUGACCACCCUUCCCCAUCCUGACUAAUUUCCCUCUCUCUCACUGAACAAGGCUACAGAUGCUUUCCUUUCUUCACUCUCAUCUGCAGUUAACUUUGUGUCCCCUUUCCUCCAGGCCUGCAAGAUCUUCCUCACCUGCCCCCUGGCUGAUUGGUGUCCUGCGCAGCAACCAACGAGAACUUAGGAAGGCUGAGAAAAGGUGGGGAAAUCCCAGCUCAACUUGGGUCUUUACUCCUACCAAUCUCUCCUUUCCAAGUUCUCACUCGAAGUUACUACUACAAAGUCAUCUUUCUACAGAGGGAAACUCGAAGCAUCAGCAUCUGAUCCACGUGUGUUCUUUGAGGAGAAGAUGCUAUCCUUCAACUGAUCAAAUCCAGUAACCCAACCCACCUGCCCACUGGAUGCCAUCCCAUCUGCAUCUUUUCAGUCACAUUGUAUUGCACUGUGUAUUGUAGUUCACUGUAUUGUAUUGCAUUGUACGGCACAGAGUUCCGUGUUCAACUCUUCCUUUUUUCUGGGUAUCUAGAGCCUUUUGUUUCUAGCAGUACCUGAGCUCAGGACUGUCUUUUUCUAUUUAUAACUAGCAAAUAUUUAUAACCUAUUUAUAACUAGCAAAUAUACUGUCUCUAGAUAGACAAAGUACUUCUUGUAAAUUUCUCUGGAUAAGAGUGUCUGCUAAAUGCUGUAAAUGUAGUUUGUAUCAUUUGUAUACCUAUGAAAAUUGUCAGCCUCUAUUAAGUCCUAAUGGAGUUGUGGGAUAUUUUAAAAGACCAACACUGCAAGCCAAACUUAACUAGUGGCUGUCUGGGGCAUGAAACCCAUGGACUGAAAUGAUCUGUGAAGCUAAGUAAGGCUGGUCCAGGUCAGUGAUUGGAUGGGAGGCUGUGCUGGCUUGUCUAUAGCUCAAGCUUUCAAACAAACUUUUAUUUUGAAACUAAUCAGUGAUUAGUGAUACAGUGAAAAGUUCAUAAUGUGGUAAUAAGCAGAAAGUCUAAGACAGUUAAUAGGAAGUCUGCAUGUAAUUGAUCAUAUAUUGCUUUGAAUUACUUUAGAAAAACUGUAUCGGCCUCCAGUUUCAUCCAGUGUAUCCAAACCUAUAAGACCCAUGGUCUGGUCUUUUGUUAGAAACUAAGCAAUGUGGGACUUGGUCAGGGCAUGUACUGAAACUAACUGACAUAAGAAGUUGCAGUCAGGCUAUGAACCUAACAUUGACUUUGAAAUAAAAGUUUGAAUUAAAAUGAAGAA